Molecule: small nuclear RNA, 151 nt
Filed under: Phascolarctos cinereus (koala)
Lineage: Eukaryota; Metazoa; Chordata; Mammalia; Diprotodontia; Phascolarctidae
Description: U2 spliceosomal RNA (ENSPCIG00000022216.2)
Rfam family: U2 spliceosomal RNA (bases 1-123)
About the family: U2 is a small nuclear RNA (snRNA) component of the spliceosome (involved in pre-mRNA splicing).
Source: RNAcentral
AUUGCUCCUUGGCCAUUUGGCUAAGAUUAAGUAUAAUAUCUGUUCUUACAGUUUAAUAUCUGAUAUGUACCCUGUCAGAAGAUAAUACAUUAAAUGGGUUUUUGCUACAGAGGAAAAAAUUAUAGAGGCAGUUCUAAAUAGUUUAAUAGAU